AAAAAUAUAGUUUAUUAUAAAACUUCCGUUUUCGGCUCGGGCGAUUUUGGUUAAAUUCCAAAUGUUUUUU
Molecule: transfer RNA, 70 nt
Filed under: Antedon mediterranea
Lineage: Eukaryota; Metazoa; Echinodermata; Crinoidea; Comatulida; Antedonidae
Description: transfer RNA-Arg
Rfam family: tRNA
About the family: Transfer RNA (tRNA) molecules are approximately 80 nucleotides in length. Their secondary structure includes four short double-helical elements and three loops (D, anti-codon, and T loops).
Source: RNAcentral